UACAGAGGUGGCAAGCGUUGUUCGGAAUUACUGGGCGUAAAGGGCUCGUAGGCGGCCAACUAAGUCAGACGUGAAAUCCCCAGGCUCAACCUGGGAACUGCGUCUGAUACUGGAUGGCUUGAAUCCGGGAGAGGGAUGCAGAAUUCCAGGUGUAGCGGUGAAAUGCGUAGAUAUCUGGAGGAAUACCGGUGGCGAAGGCGGCAUCCUGGACCGGCAUUGACGCUGAGGAGCGAAAGCCAGGGGAGCGAACGGG
This 253-nucleotide ribosomal RNA is filed under the name uncultured bacterium. Its description in RNAcentral is "partial 16S ribosomal RNA". It matches the Rfam family "Bacterial small subunit ribosomal RNA", at positions 524 to 776 of the family's 1533-position model. The record is from RNAcentral.